UAGGGAAUCUUCCGCAAUGGGCGAAAGCCUGACGGAGCAACGCCGCGUGAGUGAUGAAGGUCUUCGGAUCGUAAAACUCUGUUAUUAGGGAAGAACAAAUGUGUAAGUAACUAUGCACGUCUUGACGGUACCUAAUCAGAAAGCCACGGCUAACUACGUGCCAGCAGCCGCGGUAAUACGUAGGUGGCAAGCGUUAUCCGGAAUUAUUGGGCGUAAAGCGCGCGUAGGCGGUUUUUUAAGUCUGAUGUGAAAGCCCACGGCUCAACCGUGGAGGGGAAUUGGAAACUGGAAAACUUGAGUGCAGAAGAGGAAAGUGGAAUUCCAUGUGUAGCGGUGAAAUGCGCAGAGAUAUGGAGGAACACCAGUAGCGAAGGCGACUUUCUGGUCUGUAACUGACGCUGAUGUGCGAAAGCGUGGGGAUCAAACAGG
This 429-nucleotide ribosomal RNA is filed under the name Actinomycetes bacterium. Its description in RNAcentral is "Actinobacteria bacterium partial 16S ribosomal RNA". It matches the Rfam family "Bacterial small subunit ribosomal RNA", at positions 355 to 776 of the family's 1533-position model. Lineage: Bacteria; Bacillati; Actinomycetota; Actinomycetes. The record is from RNAcentral.